RNAcentral lists this ribosomal RNA (459 nucleotides) under uncultured bacterium. Its description in RNAcentral is "partial 16S ribosomal RNA". It matches the Rfam family "Bacterial small subunit ribosomal RNA", at positions 338 to 795 of the family's 1533-position model. The record is from RNAcentral.
CCUACGGGUGGCAGCAGUGAGGAAUAUUGGUCAAUGGACGCGAGCCUGAACCAGCCAUGUCGCGUGCAGGAUGACGGUUCUAUGGAUUGUAAACUUCUUUUGUCCGAGGGUAAACCCCGCCACGUGUAUCGUUCCGAGCGUACCCUACGAAUAAGCAUCGGCUAACUCCGUGCCAGCAGCCGCGGUAAUACGGAGGAUCCGAGCGUUAUCCGGAUUUAUUGGGUUUAAAGGGUUCGCAGGCGGAAGAUCAAGUCAGCGGGAAAAGUUAGGGGCUCAACCUCUUCGCGCCCUUGAAACUGGUGGUCUAGAGAGAGCGUGAAGUAGGCGGAAUGCAUGGUGUAGCGGUGAAAUGCUUAGAUAUCACACAGAACUCCGAUUGCGAAGGCAGCAUACCAAAGUAUAACUGACGCUGAGGCACGAAAGCGUGGGUAGCGAACAGGAUUAGAUACCCUAGUAGUC